AAAGAGACAACCUGGAGAACUGAAACAUCUAAGUAACCAGAGGAAAAGAAAUCAAUUGAGAUUCCGUUAGUAGUGGCGAGCGAAAGCGGAAUAGGCCAGUAGUUUUAUUAAAAAAAUUUGAAUAGUUUGGAAAAACUAACCACAGAGGGUGAUAGUCCCGUAUAAGUAAUGUUUAAUAAAAUUCUUGAGUAAAGCGGGACACGUGAAAUCCUGCUCGAAUAUAGGGGGACCACCCUCUAAGCCUAAAUACUCUUCAGUGACCGAUAGUGAACUAGUACCGUGAGGGAAAGGUGAAAAGAACCCCUAUUAGGGGAGUGAAAUAGAACCUGAAACCGCAUGCCUACAAUCAGUCGAAGCUCUUUUUAGAGUGACGGCGUACCUUUUGUAUAAUGGGUCAGUGACUUAAUUUAUAAAGCAAGCUUAAGCCAUCUAGGUGUAGGCGCAGCGAAAGCAAGUCUUAAUAGGGCGAACAGUUUUAUGAAUUAGACCCGAAAACGAAUGAGCUUACCAUGAGCAGGUUGAAAGUAAGGUAACACUUACCGGAGGACCGAACCAGUUGACGUUGAAAAGUCUUUGGAUGACUUGUGGUAAGGGGUGAAAGGCCAACCAAAUUCGUAGAUAGCUGGUUUUCCGCGAAAACUAUUUAGGUAGUGCGAUGAAUAAAUAGAUGUUUAGAGGUAGAGCACUAAAUGGGCUAGGGGGAAGAGAUUCUUACCAAACCUAAUAAAACUCCGAAUGCUAAACAUUGUUCUUCAUCAGACAGACUGUGGGUGCUAAGGUCCACGGUCGAGAGGGAAAGAGCCCAGACCACCAGAUAAGGUCCCCAAAUUAUGAUUAAGUGUGAAAGGAUGUGGAAAUUCCUUAACAGCCGGGAGGUUGGCUUAGAAGCAGCCAUCCUUUAAAGAUAGCGUAACAGCUCACCGGUCUAAUAGAGUUUCUGCGCCGAAGAUGUAACGGGGCUAAAAUCAUAUACCGAAUCUGUGGGUUUAUAGAGUUUUCGAACUUUAUAAGCGGUAGCGGAACGUUCUGUAAGCCUGUGAAGGGAUACCCGUGAGGGAUCCUGGAGGUAUCAGAAGUGCGAAUGCUGACAUAAGUAACGAUAAAAGAAGUGAAAAACUUCUUCGCCGAAAAUCCAAGGGUUUCUGCGCAAGGUUAAUCCGCGCAGAGUUAGUCGGCACCUAAGACGAGGGCGAAAGCCGUAGUCGAUGGAAAUAAGGUUAAUAUUCCUUAACCAGAUGGUAGUGACGAAUCUUGUAAGUUGUAAGUUCUUAAUGGAUUGAACUUGCCGCGAAAAGGUUCCAAGAAAUAGCUCCAUCAUUAGACCGUACCCUAAACCGACACAGGUGGAUUAAUAGAGUAUAUUUAGGCGCUUGAGAGAAUGAUGUUGAAGGAACUCGGCAAAAUACUUCCGUAACUUCGGGAUAAGGAAGACCUUCUGAUAGGCAACUAUUUGAAGGUGGCACAAGCCAGGGAGAAGCGACUGUUUAUCAAAAACACAGGGCUCUGCUAACACGUAAGUGGAUGUAUAGGGUCUGACGCCUGCCCGGUGCUGGAAGGUUAAUGCGGUUGGUGCAAGCUAACUUCUGAAGCCCCAGUAAACGGCGGCCGUAACUAUAACGGUCCUAAGGUAGCGAAAUUCCUUGUCGGGUAAGUUCCGACCUGCAUGAAUGGCGUAACGAUUUCUCCGCUGUCUCCAACAUCAACUCAGUGAAAUUGAAUUCUCCGUGAAGAUGCGGAGUUCGCGUAGUUAGACGGAAAGACCCCGUGCACCUUUACUGCAACUUUACAUUGGUGUUAGGAAAAACAUAUUUAGAAUAGGAGGGAGACAUUGAAGCAAGAGCGUCAGCUUUUGUGGAGUCACCAGUGAAAUACCUCUUUUGUUUUUCUUGAUAUCUAACUGAUUGCCGUCAUCCGGCAUCAAGACAUUGUAUGGUGGGUAGUUUGACUGGGGCGGUCGCCUCCCAAAUAGUAACGGAGGCGUGCGAAGGUAGGCUCAGAACGGUCAGAAAUCGUUC
Molecule: ribosomal RNA, 2015 nt
Filed under: Candidatus Pelagibacter communis
Lineage: Bacteria; Pseudomonadati; Pseudomonadota; Alphaproteobacteria; Candidatus Pelagibacterales; Candidatus Pelagibacteraceae
Description: bacterial LSU rRNA
Rfam family: Bacterial large subunit ribosomal RNA
Source: RNAcentral